AACGGUCUGGUCCAAAUGUCUGGUCUUCACAGCUAUCCUGAGACCGAUGCUGUUCUUUCUCACCCUUCUUUUCGCAGACUGAGAAACUGAGGCAGAGAGGUUUCAGGUCACAUAAGAACGUGAACUUGUGGAGGGCAGGGCCCUGCAUCACGGAUCUCUGCCCAGCACAGCCCUGGCUCAAGAAAAGUGAGAAAGACCAGGUUCCCCACUGCGGGGCCCGCCCCUCAGAUGCUACAGACACAGAGUCGGCUUCCUCCCCUUAGAAUAUGGUUCUGGAGACCCACAGCAUUGCGAAGGCAGAGAAACCGGUGAUCAUUGCCACUGCUGGGCCUUAGACCAUGCCUCUGACUCAAAGGAAGUGCCCUUGGGAGUGAAGAGCCCCGGGUUUGGUGUGGCACCAGAAGCUUCGGUUGCUCUUUCUGACCUCAUUUUUCCUGUGCUGCACUGGCCCUUGGAGAGGACCCACUGCUGGGUCUUUCAAUGCUGAGGGAGGUGCCUGGCCUCCCACGUGGGCUGUGACCACGCUCACACAUCAGGUGCCCCUCUCGGUGCUGACUGGGUGCCCUCCUCGUGAGCCCUUCAGUGCGGCUCAGACCAGCCUUUGCAUGAAUCCACUCCGCUUCCUAACUUGGCUGCUACCUGUCAUGUCUCUCCAUAAGCCCAGAUGCCACUGAGUGGCUUGAGACCACAUGCAGCACAGCCGGGCACGCCCCUGCAUCUGUCUCCCAGGCUCCCGGCCUCUACAGAGAACCUAAGUGCCGUGCAAAGCCCACUUUCCAAACAACCGCCAGUCUGGAAUUGGGUGCCACAGCUCACAGCAAUAGAGCAGGUCAGAUCCCUACCCCUUCAAGUAACAGCUGGAGGGAACAACUGUGAAAUCCCCAUCCCUGGGUGAUCUGUUAGAGAAAUUAGGUCACACCUGUGAUAAGGUGCAAUAUGGCCCAUAAAAAAGAAAGUGAAACUCUCUCUUUUAGCCAUAUUGCUGAGUAAAAGCAGAAUGGAAGAGAACCAUGGUAUAUAUGUGAAAACAAAAGACUAGGCAUCUAUUUUCCUUUAUAAUGGAUGUAUUUCCUUAGCUCAGUAUUUCUCGUCAAGGGAAUCUGAUGGAAGGCACUGGAAGUUGGCAAACCUUUUCUGUGAAGGACCAGAUGGUAAAUAUUCUGGGCUUCACGGGCCGGAGGUCUCCAUCGCAGCUCCUUGGGUCUGCUGCUGCAGCCGGAAAGACAAAACGUACAUGGGCAGUGGCUGCAGCCCCAGUGGCACACAGACUUGAAAAGACUUGGCAGAGAAAACCCUUCCAAAAGUCCCUCCAGAGAUGUCCCUCUAGAUCCCUUUGGCCGAGACUAUUCCA
Molecule: long non-coding RNA, 1351 nt
Organism: Neofelis nebulosa (Clouded leopard)
Lineage: Eukaryota; Metazoa; Chordata; Mammalia; Carnivora; Felidae
Exons: 4
Source: RefSeq, a predicted model, not a curated record